UCGACUAAGCCAUGCAAGUCUUGAUAUUCUUCGAAUGUUAGGGCAGAAAGCUCAGUAACAAGUAGUUAACAUGCCCUCAAGUCAGGGAUAAUUUCGGGAAACUGAAGCUAAUACCUGAUAGGUAAAAGAUACUGGAAUGUUCUUUUAUCCAAAGCCUCGGCGCUUGAGGAUUGGACUGCUCCGGAUUAGGUUGUUGUUAGGGUAACGUCCUGGCAAGCCGAUAAUCCGUACGAGCCUUGAGAGAGGAAGCUCGGAGAUGGAUUCUGAGACAAGAAUCCAGGCCCUACGGGGCGCAGCAGGCGCGAAAAUUUCCCAAUGCACGCAAGUGUGAGGAAGGGAUCUGGAGUGCUUUCUCCUCUUUAGGGGGAAGCUUUUGUGGAGUGUAAACAGCUCCAAGAAUAAGUGGUGGGUAAGACGGGUGCCAGCCGCCGCGGUAAUACCCGCGCCACAAGUGGUGACCACGUUUAUUGGGCUUAAAGCGUUCGUAGCCGGUUCAGAAAGUCUUUAGUGAAAUCCCGCAGCUAACUGUGGGGCUUGCUAGGGAAACUACUGAACUUGGGACCGGGAGAGGUCUGGGGUACUCAAGGGGUAGGGGUAAAAUCCUGUAAUCCUUUGGGGACCACCGGUGGCGAAGGCGCCAGACCAGAACGGAUCCGACGGUGAGGGACGAAAGCUAGGGGAGCAAAGGGGAUUAGAUACCCCCGUAGUCCUAGCUGUAAACGAUGCCCACUAGACAUUGGCAAUCUCACGGGGGUUGUCAGUGCCGUAGCGAAAGCGUUAAGUGGGCCGCCUGGGGAGUACGGUCGCAAGGCUGAAAUGGAAGGAGUCUGAUUCAUAUCAUGAUUUCAACCCUUACUUGCGACAGUUAUCUCAAACGGAAUUUUGUUAAGGGAAACUAAGUAGUAUUAGAACGAUCUGUUAGAUCACUCUUUCAGACUUCUUCUACAGCAAACUUAAGGGAAUUGGCGGGGGAGCACACAAG
This 982-nucleotide ribosomal RNA is filed under the name uncultured archaeon. RNAcentral's name for it is "bacterial SSU rRNA". It matches the Rfam family "Archaeal small subunit ribosomal RNA". The record is from RNAcentral.